The sequence is a ribosomal RNA, 639 nucleotides long. The stretch from base 260 to 415 matches the Rfam family "5.8S ribosomal RNA".
UCGAAACCUGCAAGGCAGAACGACCCGUGAACAUGUAAAACAACUUGGUGCUGUUGAGAUUGGCUUUAGGUCUUGAUGAGCAGCACCUCCCGGUGUGUUUUCGUGGUGUCACCUCGUGGUGCCAUGGAUGUCCCAUCGGACUAUAUAACAAACCCCGGCACGGCAUGUGCCAAGGAAAACAAAAAAUGAGAAGGUUUAGACCUGUUUUGCCCUGUUUUUCGGUGUGCACACAUGCUCUAGCCUUCUUGAAAUUACAAACGACUCUCGGCAACGGAUAUCUCGGCUCACGCAUCGAUGAAGAACGUAGCAAAAUGCGAUACUUGGUGUGAAUUGCAGAAUCCCGUGAACCAUCGAGUUUUUGAACGCAAGUUGCGCCCGAAGUCAUCCGGCAAAGGGCACGUCUGCCUGGGCGUCACACAUUACGUCGCCCCCUCCAAAGAACCUUAAUGGGGUAAUCCUGGUCAUGGGGGCGGAAAUUGGCCUCCUGUUCUUGCGUGUGGUUGGCCUAAAUAGGAGUCUCCUUCGGUGGAUGCACAACUAGUGGUGGUUGAACAUACCCUCGUCUUGUUGUGUGUCGUUAGCUGUGAGGGAAGUCCACUUUUAUAACCCCACUGUAUCGUUAUAUGACGAUAUAUCGAC